GUGCCGGGCGACACCCGGGCCGUGCCGCCAGCGUCCGUCGGGAGAGUGAAGGCUCGCAACGCCUUGCCCGGGGGAAGGUAACGCGCCGCGCCCGGGGCUGCGCGGUUUGCACCGCCAGGCCGAGGGCUGGGGGCCAGAAGACAAGAGAGACGGCGAGGCGCGCUCCCUGCCCGGCAGCGACUCGGAGGUGCAGAGAGAGAAUAAACUGUGUCUAAGACUGGACCAGAGAGUGAGUGUGCUGGAAGCCACCAUAGGAACAAGCGACCUGUUUGGCAAGGAAUACAGCAUCCUUCUGAGAGCCUCUUCUCGACACUAUCCCACAGACCAGGACUUCCUCAUGGGAAAGAGCACUUAGGAUCUUGCUAUCAGCUGCCCUAAACUUUUGCUGAGCCAAAAUAAGACUUUGAUGCAGAACUGAACAAGAUAUUUCAUUUUUGUGUGUUUUAAUCUUCCUGGUUGCAGUCUUAGUUGUUCAGCCCUGAGAAUUUUGAGCCACA
Molecule: long non-coding RNA, 497 nt
Filed under: Homo sapiens (human)
Lineage: Eukaryota; Metazoa; Chordata; Mammalia; Primates; Hominidae
Description: non-protein coding lnc-CCDC89-8:1
Source: RNAcentral